UGCAGUCAUACUGAUUUUUUUAAUCGAAAGCCUAUUUACAAAACUACCUAACCGUACAGACUAUUUGUUUUCGAUGCAUUUCGUUUCGCCCAUCGAUGAGAUUAAGGUUAGAAAACGACGGAUGUUAAAUGGUUGAUGCUCGUUAUUUUCGUUGGUCUGAAAAAGCUUAUGAACAUUUCGCCGUCUGCAUGGAGCGAUGACCGUUCGUCAAGAGAGCUGGCAUGUGUUUUCACAAUGUUAUUUUAAUAGACCUUACCGUUUUAUAUUCACGUUUGACCCAAUGGCCUCGUUUUCGUGUUUGCCAGUUUUGCAUGGGCGUACCGGAAGGAAAAAUUUAGGGGGGCGGCAAGAAAUUUGCCCGACUUUUCCGGAUUUUGCUCAGUGAUUUUGCCCGACAAGUGCCGAAAAAUUUUUUUCCGGAAUUUGUUUUGGCGUCCUCCCCCCCCCGUCGCCAAAAAAAUUUCGGUCAGUGUACCAUUUUAGAGGUCAAAAAUUUUUUCCGGACAUACCAAAAUUGUCCGGAACCUACAAAAUUUUG
RNAcentral lists this long non-coding RNA (538 nucleotides) under Paramuricea clavata. Lineage: Eukaryota; Metazoa; Cnidaria; Anthozoa; Malacalcyonacea; Plexauridae. The record is from RNAcentral.